CCCUCCUCGCUGGACUCAUCAAACCCACUCCUCCGCCCCUGCCUCUCUCCCUAACACGCACACGCACAGCAGCCGCAGGCUACGUUCUCCCCACCCACCCUCCUCUUCCACCCCUCUUCGCUGCCGUCUGCGAGAUCAGCACUGCACACAAAGCACCUCCCCCCUACACACACGUACACACGCGCAUACUCCGGCUGUUGCUGCGAGCCACGAAAAUGACCACCAUGGCUCGCGUGGAUGAGACGCUGGCGCGUUUCAAAGGCAAGUCGCCGCGGGACAGCUACAAGCAAGUCUGCGGCGAGCUUGACGUGCACAUGCAGCGCGAGAUCUAUGCGGCAUUGCCAGAGAAACCGAUGGCGUGGCACCACAUCUACACGCUGGACUUGGGGAAGUCUCUGUUGGGCACUAAAGGCUGCAUGGCGAUGCUGCCUCUCAUCACCGUCAGCACCUCGAUGCGCAAGCUUAGUCUGCGCUCGUGUGGCUUGUCGGACGAGUUCGUGAUUCAGCUGUGUGCCGUCCUGCAGAGCCACCCGUCCCUACGGUCGGUGGAUAUCAGCGACAACGAGCUCGUCACGGUGUACAGUGCGCCGCACAUCAUCAGCGUCAUGCGCAACAACUCGAACAUGGUGCUCUUCGACGUGUACAACACCCACGUCGGUUCCAACGUCGGUGACAUCAUCGCUAAGCUUGGCCAGCGCAAUUUGGACAACGUCCUGCACUACUACGAGGACCGCUAUUUCCGCAUGAAGAACCUCUUCAACUAUAUGGACGCGGACGGAACGGGCUGGGUGGUUCUCAAGUCUCUCGUCCUCAACUGCCCAUACCCGGUGCUGCAGGAGCAGUUCGUCGAGCGUAUUGCCACUAAGCAGCCCCGCAAGCGUUCCGACAACACCAUCAGCAUCAACACGUUUCUGCAGCUGGUCUACAUGAACUACAAGACCGAGACAGAGAUCGGCGCUUAUUCUAACAAGACGAUUGAUGAGCCCUACGUGUUCAUAGUGGCGAACUGGAAGCAGUUGCUGCACGCGGUGGAGCGGUACAACGUGCGCGCCGCUGCCAUGGGGGAUGGCCAGGGCCCGCACCCUCCUGUGCAACUCCCCGACAAUCUCCACCGCUGGCGUCUGCGAGAUUACAUCAUAACACCUGACGAUGCAGACGCCAUGGUGGAGGGCGCGGUGCAGCUGAUAGAGCACUCGUCGGCGAUGGCGGAAGGGGAACCGGAGCUCAAUGGGUCGGGCGAGCGUGCUGAGCUGGAUGCCGAGGUGGACAGCGACAAGCAGACAGCGGAGAACGCGGCGGAGGUGGCCCCACUCGUGAUCCCCAUCACCAUCCUUCUCCGGGCCGCCAAGUCAGUUCUCGUCUUUCCUCCCUCCGUCGCCAAGCCCUCGUACAGCUUCUACACCGACCACGACGCCGCUUACGUGCCGGAAAUCCUGCGCAACGGGUCGCGUCUCUUCAGUGUCAGUCGCCUCUCCUGCCUCUUCAGCGGUGGUGCCUCCACCCCCGGCGACAGCGCGAGCUCGGCCGACGUCGUGCAGGACUCCACCGACCAGCCGCACACCUUCUCGCUGCCCGCGUCAGUGGUGAAGAUGGUGGUGGACUUCUUCAACAAAGAGCACAAAAAGCUGCCCACGAAGAAGCAGUCCGUAAUCCCUGACAGCCCCCGAACUCGCCGGGACAAAGCGAUGGAGAAGGCAUCGAUCCCCGUGCCGACGUUCCUUAGCGCCGAGUUCGUCAGCGACCUGGAGCGGGUGUGUCCUCGCUUCCUCGCUGACUACUACGCUCGCCACGCACUGCUGAUCGAGGAUGGCACCAUCACGCUGCAGGAAAUGGUGAACGUGCUGGACGAGAUGUACGCGCAGUGCCGAAUCGACCGCCUCAUUUCGCUGGCCGACAUCAAGGCCAUGCCGGACCCGAUGAAGGAUAAGUCCCUGGUGAGCUUCGUGACCGCCCACUUCGCGGACCGCGACGAGGGCAUCUCCUUCUUGGAGCCGUUCAAUGACUUGGUAGCGUACUGAGAGCGUGCAAGAGGUACUCACGCACGCGCAGGCACACAGACAGACACAGGCCCACAGACCAAAGUCUACGACGCGCGCCUCUACUCAUCCUACCACAGCUCAGCGGAUGCUGUCGUGUGCGCCCACAGAAGCAGGGUUGUGUGUAGUGGCUGCCACACCGUCGUUGUUCUCUUAUUUGAUCUUCUCGUUUCUGUUCCCAGCCUCUCUUUCGCUUCCUUUCCCUCCUUUCUCCCCUCUCCCAUCAUGUGGGAAGAGCAUGUAUCAUGCAGGCGGCACGCAAGUCACGCUUUGCUUUAUAUGUCGUGUCUUUGUACAUAUCUAUAUGGAUAUCUACAUAUCUAUAUGGAUAUCUACAUAUCUAUAUGGAUAUCUACAUAUCUAUAUGGAUAUCUACAUAUCUAUAUGGAUAUCUACAUAUCUAUAUGGAUAUCUACAUAUCUAUAUGGAUAUCUACAUAUCUAUAUGGAUAUCUACAUAUCUAUAUGGAUAUCUACAUAUCUAUAUGGAUAUCUACAUAUCUAUAUGGAUAUCUACAUAUCUAUAUGGAUAUCUACAUAUCUAUACAAAGCGCCCAUGUAUGCCAGUGUCUCUCCACCCCCUUUUCACCCCUCAUCGGACCAUUGCGAGCAAAAAAUGUAUACGCAGGCCCACCGCCUCCGUCUCGCUCCGCGUCUCUCCACUGUUUCGUCUUUUCUCUUUUUUUUCUUUACUUGGUGCCUGUCUGCGUGUGUGUCCGCCUCAGCAUCUGCAUACGUGAGCGUGUUUGAGAGUCGAUGGCGAUGAUGUACAGCUACACGUACACACUGUACUUCUUAUAGGCAUAGGUGCCCCCCUAUGCCAUCGAGGCAAUCCUGUUUCCUUCUCUUUUUCGUUGCUUGUGUCAGUUCGCCUGUCUGUCUACUCUCUCUCUGCGCGUGCGAUGCGCUCGUGCGUCGAGAUAUUGCGAGAGAGAGAGCGAGGGCGAGAGCGCAGGCGGAGUGGGACGAGCUUGAUGAUGGGCAUGGCGGCGCUGCAGACAGGGAUGGGGAAGGAGGUGCGGCAGUUCACAAACUUUACUUCCUGUUAUCCUCCCCCCUCUCUUCAUCCUCCAGUGCCUGCACCGCCGCCUCUUUUUCUAUAUUUGAUCCCCCUUCAUUUCGCGUUUCACCGUCUCCUCUCAUCUCCCCAGACUCUCGACGUGUAAUGCCGAUCUCCUUCGGCGCGCCGUUGUGGCACUCAACAAACACACACACGCGCAUGCAAACAGUUAUGUAAAGUACUGAUGCUCAUCUUUACUUUCGCGUUGUUCUCUCGGAGCCGCCGCAGCGUUCGCUUUCACGUGUGCAGCUGUCGAACGCUGCGGCCUCUUUUCUCUGCCCUUUUUGGCCUUCUAGCAACUACCACGGCGCUUCGACCCUCCCCCUCCCCUUCCCCCUCUGAGAGGUACCUCCGCUGCGAGUCACCAGACAAGCAGCAGAAGGAAGGAUAACAGCGGUAGAGGGAGGGGGUAUGCAGCAACGCCGUGGUGCAUGUCGCUUCUCCGAGUCAACCGCGAUGUUAUGCAUGGAAAGUCUUUCUUAUUGUCUUGCGCGUCUGCACGCGUGCGUCUGUGUCGGGCCCGGCCCGAGUCGUCAUGCUUUGGG
This 3640-nucleotide unclassified non-coding RNA is filed under the name Leishmania donovani. Its description in RNAcentral is "gene:LdHU3.24.1970(CDS-product:hypothetical_prote in_conserved)". The record is from RNAcentral. Lineage: Eukaryota; Euglenozoa; Kinetoplastea; Trypanosomatida; Trypanosomatidae.